GGGGCUGUGGCUCAGUGGUAGAGCACCAGCUUUGCAUGUUUGAGGCACUGGGUUCGAUCCUCAGCACCA
This 69-nucleotide transfer RNA is filed under the name Ictidomys tridecemlineatus (thirteen-lined ground squirrel). RNAcentral's name for it is "Spermophilus tridecemlineatus (thirteen-lined ground squirrel) tRNA". It matches the Rfam family "tRNA". From Rfam's summary of the family: Transfer RNA (tRNA) molecules are approximately 80 nucleotides in length. Their secondary structure includes four short double-helical elements and three loops (D, anti-codon, and T loops). Further hydrogen bonds mediate the characteristic L-shaped molecular structure. tRNAs have two regions of fundamental functional importance: the anti-codon, which is responsible for specific mRNA codon recognition, and the 3' end, to which the tRNAs corresponding amino acid is attached (by aminoacyl-tRNA synthetases). tRNAs cope with the degeneracy of the genetic code in two manners: having more than one tRNA (with a specific anti-codon) for a particular amino acid; and 'wobble' base-pairing, i.e. permitting non-standard base-pairing at the 3rd anti-codon position. Lineage: Eukaryota; Metazoa; Chordata; Mammalia; Rodentia; Sciuridae. The record is from Rfam by way of RNAcentral.